AUACGGAGGGUGCAAGCGUUAAUCGGAAUUACUGGGCGUAAAGCGCACGCAGGCGGUCUGUCAAGUCGGAUGUGAAAUCCCCGGGCUCAACCUGGGAACUGCAUUCGAAACUGGCAGGCUUGAGUCUUGUAGAGGGGGGUAGAAUUCCAGGUGUAGCGGUGAAAUGCGUAGAGAUCUGGAGGAAUACCGGUGGCGAAGGCGGCCCCCUGGACAAAGACUGACGCUCAGGUGCGAAAGCGUGGGGAGCAAACAGGAUUAGAUACCCUGGUAGUCCACGCUGUAAACGAUGUCGACUUGGAGGUUGAUCCCUUGAGGAGUGGCUUCCGGAGCUAACGCGUUAAGUCGACCGCCUGGGGAGUACGGCCGCAAGGUUAAA
RNAcentral lists this ribosomal RNA (376 nucleotides) under uncultured bacterium. RNAcentral's name for it is "bacterial SSU rRNA". It matches the Rfam family "Bacterial small subunit ribosomal RNA", at positions 523 to 898 of the family's 1533-position model. The record is from RNAcentral.